GAUCAUGGCUCAGGAUGAACGCUAGCUACAGGCUUAACACAUGCAAGUCGAGGGGCAGCAUGGUCUUAGCUUGCUAAGGCUGAUGGCGACCGGCGCACGGGUGAGUAACACGUAUCCAACCUGCCGUCUACUCUUGGCCAGCCUUCUGAAAGGAAGAUUAAUCCAGGAUGGGAUCAUGAGUUCACAUGUCCGCAUGAUUAAAAGUGUUUACGUUUUCCGGUAGACGUAGGU
RNAcentral lists this ribosomal RNA (231 nucleotides) under uncultured bacterium. Its description in RNAcentral is "partial 16S ribosomal RNA". It matches the Rfam family "Bacterial small subunit ribosomal RNA", at positions 15 to 229 of the family's 1533-position model. The record is from RNAcentral.